UCAUAUGCUUGUCUCAAAGAUUAAGCCAUGCAUGCCUAAGUCUUGGCUCUUGUACAGUGAAACCACGAAUGGCUCAUUAAAUCAGCUAUUGUUCAUUAGAUCUUACCCGUUACAUGGAUAACUGUAGUAAUUCUAGAGCUAAUACAUGCCUCGAUGCCGUGACCCGUGAGGGAAUCGGUGCACUUAUUAGAACAAGACCAACCGGGUUGCCGGUCUCACCUGGAAUCGGUGGCCCUGUUGUGUCGUGUUGACUCUGGAUAAUUACGACAGAUCGCAGUCGGCCUUGUUGUCGGCGACGGUUCUUUUAAAUGUCUGCCCUAUCAACUUACGAUGGUAGGCGACCUGCCUACCAUGGUGAUAACGGGUAACGGGGAAUCAGGGUUCGAUUCCGGAGAGGGAGCCUGAGAAACGGCUACCACAUCCAAGGAAGGCAGCAGGCGCGCAAAUUACCCACUCCCGGCACGGGGAGGUAGUGACGAAAAAUAACGAUGCGGGACUCGUACGAGGCUCCGUAAUCGGAAUGAGUACACUCUAAAUCCUUUAACGAGGACCAAUUGGAGGGCAAGUCUGGUGCCAGCAGCCGCGGUAACUCCAGCUCCAAUAGCGUAUAUUAAAGUUGCUGCAGUUAAAAAGCUCGUAGUUGGAUCUUGACGGCACUGCUGCGAGUUUAGGCGUCAUCGUUUUGCCAACGGCCUAUGGUGUUUUCAAUAGCAUCCGGGUGCGGGGCACGGUGUGCCUGGCUUGUCGGCGGUGUAGUCUUUCAGCCGUGUCUGUUGCCCACGUGCUUAUGUGCGGGGGUGCAGGUGCCGACGGUUGGUGUUUGUCUGGUUCGUCCCAGCCUUCUGUUGGUACGCCUCGGGAUGCUCUUGACUGAGCCGUCCCGGGUGCGGACGGCAUGUUUACUUUGAACAAAUUUGAGUGCUCAAAGCAGGCCCACGUGCCUGAAAUUUUCUUGCAUGGAAUAAUGGAAUAGGACUUCGGUUCUAUUUUGUUGGUUUUCGGUUCCGAAGUAAUGGUUAAGAGAGACAGACGGGGGCAUUUGUAUGGCGGUGUUAGAGGUGAAAUUCAUGGAUCGCCGCCAGACAGCCUGAAGCGAAAGCAUUUGCCAGGAAUGUUUUCAUUGACAAAGAGCGAAAGUCAGAGGUUCGAAGACGAUCAGAUACCGUCCUAGUUCUGACCAUAAACGAUGCCAACUGACGAUCCGCGGAGGUUGUACAUAUCGUCCCCGCGGGCAGUCUCCCGGAAACCCGUAAGUCUUUGGGUUCCGGGGAAAGUAUGGUUGCAAAGCUGAAACUUAAAGGAAUUGACGGAAGGGCACCACCAGGAGUGGAGCCUGCGGCUUAAUUUGACUCAACACGGGAAAACUCACCCGGCCCGGACACUGUGAGGAUUGACAGAUUGAUAGCUCUUUCUUGAUCCAGUGGUUGGUGGUGCAUGGCCGUUCUUAGUUGGUGGAGCGAUUUGUCUGGUUAAUUCCGAUAACGAACGAGACUCUGGCCUGCUAAAUAGUACACCGGUAAAUCGUGACCGUUUGAAGGGUUUUGCUGGGUGGCGCUCUCUCUUUGCUGGGAGUUGUGUUGCCUGGUAGGCCUCUUUGGCGGUUACUGUGCAGGCGAAACUUCUUAGAGGGACAAGUUGCUUCCUAAGCAACACGAAAUUGAGCAAUAACAGGUCUGUGAUGCCCUUAGAUGUCCGGGGCCGCACGCGCGCUACAAUGACAGUGCCAGUGUGCAUGUCGACCUAGCCUGAAAGGGUUGGGCAAACCGAUUCAUUACUGUCGUGACAGGGAUCGGGGUCUGCAAUUAUCCCCCGUGAACGAGGAAUUCCCAGUAAGUGCAAGUCAUAAGCUUGUGCUGAUUACGUCCCUGCCCUUUGUACACACCGCCCGUCGCUACUACCGAUUGAAUGGUUUGGCAAGGCUCUCGGACUGGUGCCAUUGUAGUGGUCGGCUGCUUUCAUGGUGGCUUGACUGCUCGACCGGUGCUGGGAAGAGGACCAAACUUGAUCAUUUAGAGGAAGUAAAA
This 2024-nucleotide ribosomal RNA is filed under the name Protopolystoma occidentalis. RNAcentral's name for it is "SSU rRNA". It matches the Rfam family "Eukaryotic small subunit ribosomal RNA". Lineage: Eukaryota; Metazoa; Platyhelminthes; Monogenea; Polystomatidea; Polystomatidae. The record is from RNAcentral.